Non-coding RNA from Mycena metata, 99 nucleotides. The record is from the annotation of a GenBank genome assembly. Lineage: Eukaryota; Fungi; Basidiomycota; Agaricomycetes; Agaricales; Mycenaceae.
AGCAGUAUGGUGUAAUGUCUGCACACGGGACCUGCCUACGUUUCAAGGCACCCACCAAAAUUGAAUCCCGAGGUCCUUGUUCGAACCAAGGUGCUGCUC